UUCCUUUGCUUUUCUACAAAACACAACCCAAGAAUUCACUUCUAAAGCCACAGAAAUACCAAUCAAUGUUGACAAACACAAACAAUAAGCCAAUUUAGUAUAAGACUUUCCUUCUCCCAUUACUUCAAAUCCUUGAAAAACAUUCACAACUCCUACAACCACACAAGCAUAACCAACAAAAUGAUGAUAAGAUAUCUGUCGUCUUAGGCCUAAAAAACAGUGCCAAUGUUUGUAACAUGCCCAAUACAUUCACUACCCCUAAAACAACACAAGCAUAACCAACAAAAUGGUGAUAAGAUUUCCAAUAUCUCCUAAAUUUAUUUGUCGUCUUAGGCCUAAAAAACAAUGCCAAUGUUUG
RNAcentral lists this long non-coding RNA (358 nucleotides) under Nicotiana benthamiana. RNAcentral's name for it is "long non-coding RNA (NBEN_LNC038071)". Lineage: Eukaryota; Viridiplantae; Streptophyta; Magnoliopsida; Solanales; Solanaceae. The record is from RNAcentral.